AGUGAACGCUGGCGGCGUGCCUAAUACAUGCAAGUCGAACGGAGUGGCGCACGGGUGAGUAAUAUAUAGCUAAUCUGCCCCUUGCUGGAGGACAACAGUUAGAAAUGACUGCUAAUACUCCAUAGCAAGGGAUGAGACUAUAUCGUAUCAGCUAGUCGGUGGGGUAACGGCCUACCGAGGCUAUGACGCGUAACUGGUCUGAGAGGAUGAUCAGUCACAUUGGAACUGAGACACGGUCCAAACUCCUACGGGAGGCAGCAGUAGGGAAUAUUGCGCAAUGGGGGAAACCCUGACGCAGCAACGCCGCGUGAGUGAUGACGGCCUUCGGGUUGUAAAGCUCUGUUAAUCGGGACGCAGUACCGGAAUAGAAAGCCACGGCUAACUACGUGCCAGCAGCCGCGGUAAUUC
RNAcentral lists this ribosomal RNA (408 nucleotides) under uncultured bacterium. RNAcentral's name for it is "partial 16S ribosomal RNA". It matches the Rfam family "Bacterial small subunit ribosomal RNA", at positions 29 to 526 of the family's 1533-position model. The record is from RNAcentral.